This 468-nucleotide ribosomal RNA is filed under the name uncultured bacterium. RNAcentral describes it as "partial 16S ribosomal RNA". It matches the Rfam family "Bacterial small subunit ribosomal RNA", at positions 28 to 507 of the family's 1533-position model. The record is from RNAcentral.
GACGAACGCUGGCGGCGUGCUUAACACAUGCAAGUCGAACGGAAAGGCCCUGCGUUUGUGGCGUGCUCGAGUGACAAACGGGUGAGUGACACGGGAAUAACCUGCCCUUGUCUUUGGGAUAACUUCAGAAAACUGGGGCUACUACCGGAUACGAGCUCCUGCUGCAUGGUGGGGGUUGGAAGGUGUCGGCGGUUGGGGAUGGACUCGCGGCUUAUCAGCUUGUUGGUGGGGUAGUGGCUUACCAAGGCUUUAACGGGUAGCCGGGCUGAGAGGGGGACCGGGCACAGUGGGACUGAGAUACGGCACAGACUCCUACGGGAGGCAGCAGUGUGGAAGAUUGCAUAACGGGCGGACGCCUGAUGAAGCAGCGCCGCGUGCGGGAUGACGGCCUCCGGGGUGUAAGCCGAUGUGGAAGGGGAGGAAGCGUGGGUGACGGUACCGGGCAAAGAAGCACCGGCUAACUACGUG